Molecule: long non-coding RNA, 951 nt
Organism: Nothobranchius furzeri (turquoise killifish)
Lineage: Eukaryota; Metazoa; Chordata; Actinopteri; Cyprinodontiformes; Nothobranchiidae
Source: RefSeq, a predicted model, not a curated record
AAGGGGGUCAAACCAUGUCCCAAAGGUCACCGGGCCUGGUGUCACUUUAAAGAAGUAGUCCAGUUACACCUUUGUGGGCUUAUAACUUGGCUUCUGAAUGUCCUAGAGAGAUCAGGUUUGUUUUAAUGUACUCCAAUCAACAGCCCCUACAACCACAAAAGGAAUGGAGUCAUUAGCACUUAUGAUUUGUAAAUGUCACCCAGAAUUAUGUUGCACAAAGCACAAUUUCACAUCAUUCUGGGUCCAUUUGUGUGAAAACAAGGUCCAAUCAGGCUGAAACGCUACAAGAAGGUAGAAUCUAUUGAUUUGUAAGUGAUCUGAACGUUUCAUGAUGAUUGCACAUUCCUAUAGAGGGUCAAACCCAUAGACUGUACAUAUACUGGACAAUUCGAUUCCAUAGGCUUCAAUAACACGUUAUCUGUCCAUAAUGGGAGGUGUCCACCACCACCAUUUUGACCGUGUCACAGGUUCCGUCCAGCCCAGACAAUUCCAUAAAAGGGAAGAGAGGAGGCGCUGAGGAUGUGGCUGUAAGGCUGGGCUCGAGUGACGACACCCAGGCGAACUAGCUACGAGCUAACCUGAAGCUAACCCUGGCUAACCCAAAGCUAAAGCGGAGGUGGGAGCCGAGCUAACGGAUGUAGCCACCUAGCUUCAACCCAACCGGAGCUAACUGGAACACCCAUCGACCUGAACCUCACACGGAGUUUAGGUGGAGGUUUUCUGCGCCUGUUCGUGAGAAGUACCUGUAUUAAAAAAGUUUUAAAUCGCCAUUUGGAUCAUUGGGGACAGCUGAGUGAGGCGUGGUGCCCAGAGAGCUGCAGAGACAACCUUGGCCUCCCUGACGUCUGUGUCUCCUGGUUCGGUUGGGGCGGACCAUCGACAUACAUACAUGUGCCGACACUGUGCCCUGUUUUAUAAAAUGUAGUGUUAAAAAUAAAUGUUUUUGCUCAA